CGUCGAAGGUGGGGCUGAUGACUGGGGUGAAGUCGUAACAAGGUAUCCGUACCGGAAGGUGCGGAUGGAUCACCUCCUAACAGGGAGACAACACAAUGAUUUUGAUGCCUGAGUACUUUUAUUCUUAGGCCGAAAUCCUGUCACCUUAGGUCGAUCGGUACCUCAGCUUUGAAGUCAAGGAUCAGCAGAAAUGUUGAUUGCUUGAUGGAGAUUUUCAGUUCCUAAACUUUGUCUAGGUCACACCCCAAAAGGGAUGAGACUCCUGGGCCAUUAGCUCAGGUGGUUAGAGCGCACCCCUGAUAAGGGUGAGGUCCCUGGUUCAAGUCCAGGAUGGCCCAUUCGGUGUUGGGGGUUUAGCUCAGUUGGUAGAGCGCCUGCUUUGCAAGCAGGAUGUCAGGAGUUCGAGUCUCCUAACCUCCACUGACCGAACUUGAUUCCCAUCUCCAAUUUUUUGGAGUUGAGCUCGAUUGGAGUGUGAUUUAGAUGCGUCCGCUGGAUGACCCCAGCUUCCUGUCAUUCCAAGUUUUAGGUUAAAGCCUUGAAUUUGGUUGAUAAGAUGCUGGGCUCGGAUCAAAUGAUCAAGCAAUUGAUGAUUUGAUUUGAAGUUCUAGCAGAACCUUGACAACUGCAUAGGUGAGUCUGGAAAAAACAAAGCAUCUUACAGAUGCAUUGUUUUGAAUCUAAUCUUCUGAAAAGAAGAUUGGAUCUAGAACAAUGAAAAUUCUUUUGAGCAAGAGCCGAGACUCUUGAGCGUUCUUUGAUUGGUGUCGAGCCAAUUAGAGUUUGAUCUUGUUUUUAGCAAUAAAAACUUGAGAAUCUGCUUUCAACGGCGGUAAGCGUUCAGGAGGUUAAUUGGUCAAGCUACAAAGGGCUCACGGCGG
RNAcentral lists this unclassified non-coding RNA (881 nucleotides) under uncultured Synechococcus sp. RNAcentral describes it as "partial may contain 16S ribosomal RNA, 16S-23S ribosomal RNA intergenic spacer, and 23S ribosomal RNA". The stretch from base 348 to 420 matches the Rfam family "tRNA". The record is from RNAcentral. Lineage: Bacteria; Bacillati; Cyanobacteriota; Cyanophyceae; Synechococcales; Synechococcaceae.